Molecule: small RNA, 68 nt
Filed under: Nocardia tenerifensis
Lineage: Bacteria; Bacillati; Actinomycetota; Actinomycetes; Mycobacteriales; Nocardiaceae
Description: ASdes TB sRNA
Rfam family: ASdes TB sRNA
Source: RNAcentral
AGCAGUAUCGGGUCGACCGCGCGGGUCACCCCCAGAUAGUCGCGCAUGACGAUGGCGUGCCGGUUCUC